AUUUAAAGCAGCACAAACAAGUCCAGGGUGCAUUUCAUGGUGAGCGUGACGUCUGAAAGCAGGGGUGUCCCGGCAACGCUGAGCAGCGGCCGAAGAGAGGAAGCGGCGCUCCGCACGGGGCCGGGGCCACUGCCUGCAACCAGCCUCUUGCUAGUGAUGGGUCCUCUCCCCUCCACCCCCGGGCACGCGGAGAAGCCCUUGCUGGCAGAGGGCAGCGGACGAGGUCUCUCUCCUGGAUGCUGUGACGUCUGGAAGGGACAGCUGUAGCCACUGAGGCCGUUCGGGCCACACGGCCGAGCAACGGUGUGGACCGAGUGACUGGAGCAAGCGACAGGACCUAGGGGACCCGCGAGCCGGCGCCCGCACCAGCGCACCGCAGCUGGCCAGCCUUCCGGGCCCCGAAGCUGCCUCUGCUCGCCCGGCCUCCGUGCACCACGGAUCUCCGGGACGGGGCGGGGGCACCUUCGCCACCACCACACACCUAGGCCAGAGGACCCCUCCCCUGAGAGUAUCCGGAAGUUUGUCACAAAAGUAAGCGAUCACUUGACCGAUGGGGGCUCCGGGGGGCGGGGUCUGGGGAACGAGUUCCCUCACCAAGACGGGAACUACUUUAAUAAGGACAAAAGUCCUUCCUUCCCUCACCUGGGCUGAGUCUUCCCCUGAUUCACCCACGUGUAUCUCCCUGUCCUUCCAAGGGAUUCUUUGUAAAUUCUAUCAGGCGUUUUUACAUAAGAUCUACAAUGCAGAUGGCUCCAGGGCAACCGUUCAUUCUACACAGUGAGGGGUACAGAGUCUGGGAGAAGGCAGCUCCGGCUGCCAGCAGUGGAACGGGCCGCGUGUCCUGGACGGCGCCAGCUGAGCGCACGCGGCCCUGUCCGACGGCCGCACCGUGUCCUCUGAAACAGAAGCGCUAAUCGGAUCAACAGAAGAGAAGGCUUCCAGCCAACAGAAUCCCCAGCCAGCCCGUGUGCUGGAGAAAACAAGACCAAUGUGGCAAGAGCCGAGCUCUCUGCACCGGAAAUUACGCCGUUUUCUGGCUCCAAAAAACCACGUUGGCUGCAGACCCCGGGUUUUGGGCCUCGCGCGGCCACCUGGGUGACAUCUAGCAUCUGGCCGGCCCCACCCAGACGGCGCCCAUCCCCCGGUCCCCAGAUACGGACGGUCACGUGCAGACAGGGCACACACGCCUCCUUGUACCGUCCAGCCUGGCGUGGGGACGGGCUGGCCCUGCGCCUCGGGAACCCCAGGCCGGUGCGGCCCGCAACGCCUCUCUGACGCCCCGCCUCCCAGCGAGAAGCAGCGUGUGCGCGUCGCGAUGGCCAGAAAGGGCUGCAGGGACUCACCACAAAGCAGCUGGCCCGGCGUGCCUGGCUGUGACAGGGCAGCUCCCCUGUGACGGUCACUGCCACCCUCCACCUCACUGACGGACCACCCCUGAGCCCCUGCACCCACAGCGGGGAGGCGUUCAGAGAGGGACGGAGCACCAGGAAGCUGACAGGUGCCAGCUCCCCCGAUGGCGCCAGGCGUCUGGCCCGGAACCUUCUCCAGGAAUGGUUCAGAGAAGCAUCCAAAGGAGGCCGAGCCCCGGACACUGACAGGCUCCCCUGCCGAUCAGGAGGUCCCCUUCCCAUGUAGGAGGUCUGUGGCACACGGAGACCAGUGGGGCCCCUGCCUGGGGACUGCCCGGAGCCCAUUAGGCCACACUCACCAGUAGAAGUAAUAGGCCAGGGCCACAGUGACCAGGGCGGUGCACACGCCUGAGAAGAGGCAGGCCAAGUAGCUGGACAGCAUCUUCGGACCCCUCGCCCGCAGUGCCGUCAGAGUCCGUGAGCAGAGGAGGGGACCAGCGGCCUGAGCGGUGUCAGCCCCCGGCUGGCGGAUGAGGACGAGGAUUGCGUCCGGACCCACGGUGCCCGUGUCCGAUGGGCCGGGGCCGCCACCUGCUCAGCCCAAAGGGGAGCACGCGCUCCGGGCACCUCCCACCCGGCCGCACCCUGCAGCCUCACAGAGCCACCCGGACGAACACAGGGCUCCCUGAACGGCAGCCUCACCCCUCCCGCUGCAGGGGCCUGUGGGGGCCACUAAUCCAGUAAGCAGCUUUGCCGGGAGCCUCUGUGAGCAGGUGGCUCACGCCGGGGGCUGGGCCGGGAUGCAGGUCGUUGGCCCAGGCACACGCACUGCCUCCCCCUCCUUUCUGAAGCCACAAAGGCACGACCCCAGAACAGCAGGGCCUGGGGUGGGCCGUGGGCUCAGCCAGUGACGGGGAGCCCACGCUUGGCCACCGGGCCACCAGGUGACAGACAGACACACCCUGUAUUCGGGGCUGGGUCUUGGCCCACAGCUGCACCCCCCCCCAUGGCAGACGAGGGCUCCCGGGAAAAGCCGCACCUCUUACUCUCAGGGAGACGGCGCUGGGGGAAUGAGGGAAGGUGGGGGGGUGCCUCUCCCCUGUCUCCCUGAGGCUUCAGAUCUGUGACGGGGCGCAGAUCAGGUGACCCAGGAACAGAACUGUCACCCACCAAACCUGCUCCCAGUGAAGAAGCGUCACCUGAGGAAGCGGGAGGGGGAGCUUUGAUCAGGAGGGCGCCCUGAGGGCUCUUCUGGCCCGAGGGCCUCCCUCAAGGCUGUGGCUUGGUCAUCACUGGGCGCCCUCCAGGCACCCUACACAGGAUACCGGCCCAGUGCUCCCACCCUGCGCCCUGGGCACCACAUCGAGCCUCAGCACAGAACUUCCAUGGGGCCCUGAGGCAGCUGGUUCUGGGGCCUCCAGACAGGUGACUGCAAAGCUCCGCCCAGAGGCAUCUGUCACCUGGCUUCUGGCCUGACGGUCACUGACCCUGCACUCUGUCCACUGGGAGGGGCGGAAGAUUGCCCUGAGCAUCGUCUUGCUGGCUAAGGCUUCCCGAGUCCUUAAUCCCAGGAGCUGCUGGCCUCGGAGGCCUGGCUCUAAAAUAGCCUCCUAGGGGAUGCCGGGGAUGCCAAGGAGCCACGCCUCAGCGACAGCACCGCCCCCGCCAGGCGCCCGGCCCGCCGCCUCUCUCAUCCAUCAGAGGAAAGCCCUCCUCUCCCAGAGCGCCGUCCAGGUUGUGCGUCCGCAGAGCCGCCCUGUGGGGGACCUCGGUGUGUGACGUGUGAGGACACGGGGCGCCCCACACGGGGUGGCAGGUGGGCCUGACUUGUCCUGCGAGGCGGCACCUGAAACUGCUCUUUGCCCCGAGGCCACGUGCCAUCUACAGACCCCUGCGAGGACCCCAUGGGCUCUGCCAGGGGAAGGGCUUCCGGGAGCCGGUGCCCAGGACUGCUGCGCUCCAGACUGUCCUCCGGACCACGGCCUCGAUGACUGUCUUAGGUACAAAGGGGACACAGACCCUUCCCAGCUGCCUCUGCAGUGCCCCCGACACACCUCCCC
Molecule: long non-coding RNA, 3409 nt
Filed under: Suricata suricatta (meerkat)
Lineage: Eukaryota; Metazoa; Chordata; Mammalia; Carnivora; Herpestidae
Description: lncRNA (ENSSSUG00005002031.1)
Source: RNAcentral